Molecule: transfer RNA, 72 nt
Filed under: Vicugna pacos (alpaca)
Lineage: Eukaryota; Metazoa; Chordata; Mammalia; Artiodactyla; Camelidae
Description: tRNA-Ala (AGC) (tRNA-Ala-AGC-187-1)
Rfam family: tRNA
About the family: Transfer RNA (tRNA) molecules are approximately 80 nucleotides in length. Their secondary structure includes four short double-helical elements and three loops (D, anti-codon, and T loops).
Source: Rfam by way of RNAcentral
GGGGGUAUAGCUCAGUGGUAGAGUGCAUGCCUAGCAUGCAGGAGGUCCUGGGUUCAAUCCCCAGUACCUCCA